This 1246-nucleotide ribosomal RNA is filed under the name metagenome. RNAcentral's name for it is "bacterial LSU rRNA". It matches the Rfam family "Bacterial large subunit ribosomal RNA", at positions 1564 to 2818 of the family's 2925-position model. The record is from RNAcentral.
UGAAUACGAGAUGCUACGGCGUCGAAGCAGUGUAUGUCAGACUUCCAAGAAAAGCUCGCAAUGUCAUAAAUAAAGAAUGCCUGUACCAUAACCGACACAGGUGGGUAGGUAGAGUAUACUAAGGGGCGCGAGAUAACUCUCUCUAAGGAACUCGGCAAAAUAACUCCGUAACUUCGGGAGAAGGAGUGCCUUCUUUAAGAAGGUUGCAAUAACAAGAUCCAAGCAACUGUUUAUCAAAACCACAGGUCUCCGCUAAGUCGUAAGACGAUGUAUGGGGGCUGACGCCUGCCCAGUGCCAGAAGGUUAAAGAAGUUGGUUAGCUUUUGCGAAGCUGAUGACUGAAGCCCUGGUGAACGGCGGCCGUAACAAUAACGGUCCUAAGGUAGCGAAAUUCCUUGUCGGGUAAGUUCCGACCCGCACGAAAGGCGUAAUGAUUUGGAUACUGUCUCGGAGAGGGACUCGGUGAAAUAGACUUGUCUGUGAAGAUGCGGACUACCUGCACCAGGACAGAAAGACCCUAUGAAGCUUUACUGUAACUUGAAAUUGAAAUUGGACUUUAUUUGCGCAGUAUAGGUGGAAGGCGUUGAAAGUAAUCUUGCGGGAUUAGUGGAGCCAUCAGUGAGAUACCACUCCUAUAAUGUUAGAUUUCUAACUUUGGAUCAUGAUCUGGUCAAAGAACAGUUUCAGGCGGGCAGUUUGACUGGGGCGGUCGCCUCCCAAAUGGUAACGGAGGCGUACAAAGGUUUCCUCUGAACGGGUAGAAAUCGUAUCUAGAGUGUAAAGGCAUAAGGAAGCUUGACUGUGAGACCUACAAGUCGAGCAGGGACGAAAGUCGGUCUUAGUGAUCUGACGGUGCUGAGUGGAAAGGCCGUCACUCAACGGAUAAAAGUUACUCUAGGGAUAACAGGCUGAUCUCCCCCAAGAGUUCACAUCGACGGGGAGGUUUGGCACCUCGAUGUCGGCUCAUCGCAUCCUGGGGCGGUAGUACGUCCCAAGGGUUGGGCUGUUCGCCCAUGAAAGCGGUACGCGAGCUGGGUUCAGAACGUCGUAAGACAGUUCGGUCCAUAUCCGGUGUAGGCGUUAGAAUAUUGAGAGGAGCCUUCUUUAGUACGAGAGGACCGAGAAGGACAUACCUCUGGUGUACCAGUUAUCGUGCCAACGGUAAACGCUGGGUAGCUAUGUAUGGAGAGGAUAACCGCUGAAAGCAUCUAAGUGGGAAGCCCACCUCAAGAUGAGUAUUCCCACC